GGAUAUAGCUCAGUGGUAGAGUGCUUGCCUCACUUGCAGGAAGCCCUGGAUUCAAUCCCUAGCACCA
RNAcentral lists this transfer RNA (67 nucleotides) under Marmota monax (woodchuck). Its description in RNAcentral is "tRNA.Val". The record is from RNAcentral. Lineage: Eukaryota; Metazoa; Chordata; Mammalia; Rodentia; Sciuridae.